Molecule: long non-coding RNA, 199 nt
Filed under: Nicotiana benthamiana
Lineage: Eukaryota; Viridiplantae; Streptophyta; Magnoliopsida; Solanales; Solanaceae
Description: long non-coding RNA (NBEN_LNC011658)
Source: RNAcentral
UUAACUCUUGAAUGUAUCUGCUAGGGGUUGCUAAUUAAAGUUUUGUCCCAUUAUACUCUUGCUGGUGAGAACAUUUAUGACGUACUAUGUUCCUUUUGAGUUUUAGCUAGGUCCCACUUCCAGGUGGGCCUUGAGAUUUUGAUCGUACUUGAUAUGUGCCUCUCUUCCCCUGUGGAUUGCCCCCCUUAGGCUCUUCUGG